CCUACGGGGGGCUGCAGUGGGGAAUAUUGCACAAUGGGGGGAACCCUGAUGCAGCAACGCCGCGUGGGUGAAGAAGUACUCCGGUAUGUAAAGCCCUGUCAGCAGGGAAGAAAAUGACGGUACCUGACCAAGAAGCCCUGGCUAACUACGUGCCAGCAGCCGCGGUAAUACGGAGGGGGCAAGCGUUAUCCGGAUUUACUGGGUGUAAAGGGAGCGUAGACGGCAAGGCAAGUCGGGAGUGAAAGCCCGGGGCCCAAUCACGGGAGUGCUGUGGAAACUGGGUUGCUGGAGUGCGGGAGGGGUAAGCGGAAUGCCAGGUGUAGCGGUGAAAUGCGUAGAUAUAAGGAGGAACACCGGUGGCGAAGGCGGCUUACUGGACUAUAACUGACGUUGAGGCUCGAAGGCGUGGGGAGCAAACAGGAUUAGAUACCCGAGUAGUC
Molecule: ribosomal RNA, 440 nt
Filed under: uncultured bacterium
Lineage: Bacteria
Description: partial 16S ribosomal RNA
Rfam family: Bacterial small subunit ribosomal RNA
Source: RNAcentral